UGAAACGCUAAAUAAAGAAAUAAGAAUAAAAUAAUAACUUGAAACAAAUCUUAGUUCGACAUAUGACUUGUAAGGAAGAGAGUAAAAAUGUCAUAACAUGCGGGUAACCGGUAAAGCCAUAGAAGCAAGUAACGAAUUUUUGACAGACGAGCGUUGAAAACGAUGUGACGUUUGUUAUUCAGAUACACACAAGUGACACCUGUUGGUUAUAUCUUUUGGAGAAACAGCUGGCAGACAAGCAAGCGAAAAAAGAAAUAAAUUUCGUACCAUCAUUGUUAAACUCUAGUGAUAACUAUUGAAAAAAAAUGUACUGUUACAAAUGAGUUUGUCACGUAGAAAUAGAAAAAUAUGUAAUUCCAAAGAUA
Molecule: long non-coding RNA, 365 nt
Organism: Bombus pascuorum
Lineage: Eukaryota; Metazoa; Arthropoda; Insecta; Hymenoptera; Apidae
Exons: 2
Source: RefSeq, a predicted model, not a curated record